AGUCAGUCAUGUCUAUUGGACUCAGCCGGUUCUGCCGGUGUACUUCCUUUAGAUGGGGUCAACAUCAGUUUUGAUCGCUGGAAAAGGGCAGGAGGAAUGUAGCACUCUCGGGUGAACUUAUAGCCUUCUGUCGUAUACAGUGGUUGGGACUGAGGAACGCAGCAUGCCUUUAUGGCCGGGGUUCGCCCACGUACAUGCUUAGGAUGUUGACAUAAUGGCUUUAAACGACCCGUCUUGA
RNAcentral lists this ribosomal RNA (238 nucleotides) under Solicoccozyma terrea. RNAcentral describes it as "partial 28S rRNA". Lineage: Eukaryota; Fungi; Basidiomycota; Tremellomycetes; Filobasidiales; Piskurozymaceae. The record is from RNAcentral.